This 94-nucleotide small nuclear RNA is filed under the name Catagonus wagneri (Chacoan peccary). Lineage: Eukaryota; Metazoa; Chordata; Mammalia; Artiodactyla; Tayassuidae. The record is from RNAcentral.
GUGCUCGCUUCGGCAGCGCAUAUACUAAUAUUGGAACGAUGCAGAGAAGAUCGGCGUGGCCUGACGUGCAAACCGUGAAGUGUUCCAUAUUUUA